UAUCUCUGUAGAGUCUGCAUAUCAAUAAGCGGAGGAAAAGAAACUAACAAGGAUUCCCUUAGUAACGGCGAGUGAAGCGGGAAGAGCUCAAAUUUGAAAUCUUCAAGGUUCUACCUUGACGAAUUGUAGUUUAAAGAAGUGUUUUCUGUUGAAGUUUCGGUAAAAGUUCUUUGGAAUAGGACAUCAUAGAGGGUGAGAAUCCCGUAUUUGACCGAUUUCUUCCAGCUGUGUGAUACACUUUCAAAGAGUCGGAUUGUUUGGGAAUGCAGUCCAAAAUGGGUGGUAAAUUUCAUCUAAAGCUAAAUAUUGGCGAGAGACCGAUAGCGAACGAGUACCGUGAGGGAAAGAUGAAAAGAACUUUGAAAAGAGAGUUAAACAGUACGUGAAAUUGUCAAAAGGGAAGCGUUUGACACCAGUGUUGUUUUCUCGAAAAUCAAUUAAAAAUGGCGUGAUUUUGUGUUGUAUUGACCUUAUAAGCUUUCUGCACUUUUUUCAUGUCUUUUUUAAUGCACUUUUCGUUUAACAAGUCAACAUCAAUUUCUUUUGUUGUAAAAGAGUCAUUGGAAGGUGGCUUUCACUUUCGGAUGAAAGUGUUUAUAGCCUUUGACUUCUGCAAUCGGAGAGAUUGAGGUCUGCAGCGUAGAUCCUUCGGGGUUAGAUACAUUUGUGCUAAGUUAUAGCUUUGUCAUAGACAACAUGUUGACUAUGAUUAAGUCAUGUAGCUUACUCGCUUAUGCUAUUUUACCUACGCUUAGGAUGUUGAACGCGCACAGAGUCUC
RNAcentral lists this ribosomal RNA (779 nucleotides) under uncultured Neocallimastigales. Its description in RNAcentral is "partial large subunit ribosomal RNA". It matches the Rfam family "Eukaryotic large subunit ribosomal RNA", at positions 24 to 611 of the family's 3401-position model. The record is from RNAcentral. Lineage: Eukaryota; Fungi; Neocallimastigomycota; Neocallimastigomycetes; Neocallimastigales.